UACGGAAGGCAGCAGUGGGGAAUAUUGCACAAUGGGCGCAAGCCUGAUGCAGCCAUGCCGCGUGUAUGAAGAAGGCCUUCGGGUUGUAAAGUACUUUCAGCGGGGAGGAAGGCGAUGCGGUUAAUAACCGCGUCGAUUGACGUUACCCGCAGAAGAAGCACCGGCUAACUCCGUGCCAGCAGCCGCGGUAAUACGGAGGGUGCAAGCGUUAAUCGGAAUUACUGGGCGUAAAGCGCACGCAGGCGGUCUGUUAAGUCAGAUGUGAAAUCCCCGGGCUUAACCUGGGAACUGCAUUUUGAAACUGGCAGGCUUGAGUCUUGUAGAGGGGGUAGAAUUCCAGGUGUAGCGGUGAAAUGCGUAGAGAUCUGGAGGAAUACCGGUGGCGAAGGCGGCCCCUGGGACAAGACUGACGCUCAGGUGCGAAAGCGUGGGGAGCAAACAGGGAUUAGAUACC
RNAcentral lists this ribosomal RNA (454 nucleotides) under uncultured bacterium. RNAcentral describes it as "bacterial SSU rRNA". It matches the Rfam family "Bacterial small subunit ribosomal RNA", at positions 340 to 786 of the family's 1533-position model. The record is from RNAcentral.